RNAcentral lists this ribosomal RNA (271 nucleotides) under uncultured bacterium. Its description in RNAcentral is "partial 16S ribosomal RNA". The record is from RNAcentral.
CUGCUGCCUUCCGUAGGAGUCUGGGCCGUGUCUCAGUCCCAGUGUGGGGGACCUUCCUCUCAGAACCCCUACGCAUCGUCGCCUUGGUGGGCCGUUACCCCGCCAACAAGCUAAUGCGACGCAUGACCAUCCGUAGCCGGAAUCGCUUCCUUUAAACCCACAGAGAUGCCUCCAUGGGUUGUUACGCGGUAUUAGACGGAAUUUCUUCCGCUUAUCCCCCUGCUACGGGCAGGUUUCAUACGUGUUACUCACCCGUGCGCCGGUCGCCGGG